Molecule: long non-coding RNA, 382 nt
Filed under: Androctonus crassicauda
Lineage: Eukaryota; Metazoa; Arthropoda; Arachnida; Scorpiones; Buthidae
Source: RNAcentral
AAAAGUUUAUUCAUUUCUCAUUGAAAUAUCUUGCCAUAUCAUUGAUUAUAUAAAUUAUGGCAAAAUUACAUCAAUAAUUAACAUUAAUUUUCAUAAUGCAGUUAAAAAGGACAUUUGAAGUUCAUAAUAAAUAUAUCUACAAUGGUGUAGAAGUAAGUGCCUGCAGUAGAACUGGUCUUUUACAAUUUGAAGGAUACAUUUCUUAUUCCCAUACUUUCAUGUUUCACUUUAAAGAUCUGUUGGCCAGCCUAGUUGUGGUGGGGCAGUUCGUAAUAGUCCCUGGAAUAGUCUCACCAUUUUAAUAAUCUGUGAUUGGAAAGCAGUGUAAAAAUUAUAAUGAAAGAAAACAUAUUCCUAAUAAAAAUUGAUACAGGUAUUGUUU